CAAAGGUAGCAUAAUAAUUUGUUUUUUAAUUGGAAACUAGUAUGAAUGGUCAUACGAGGGAUUGACUUUCUUUAUCUUACUUAAAUUAAUUUUAUUUUUCUGUGAAAAAGCAGAGAUUUUAUUAGUAGACGAUAAGACCCUUUAAAACUUUAUUCAUUAUAGAAGUAUAAUUUUAUUAGGUUUUAAUAGUGUACUUUUUUAAUGAGUUUUGUUGGGGCGACAGGUAAAUUUAUUUAACUUUAUUUUUGUUUUUCACUAAUUAGUGUUUAUUUGAUCCAGAUUUAGUUUUGAUUAUAAGUUUAAGUUACUU
RNAcentral lists this ribosomal RNA (310 nucleotides) under Cimex lectularius (bed bug). RNAcentral describes it as "partial large subunit ribosomal RNA". The record is from RNAcentral. Lineage: Eukaryota; Metazoa; Arthropoda; Insecta; Hemiptera; Cimicidae.